Long non-coding RNA from Myotis myotis, 416 nucleotides. RefSeq lists it as uncharacterized. NCBI's taxonomy places the organism in Eukaryota, Metazoa, Chordata, Mammalia, Chiroptera, Vespertilionidae. The record is from RefSeq and is a predicted model, not a curated record. The transcript is spliced from 3 exons.
CAGCAUCUGCCCUCCGUCAGUGGCAGAAGCAUCCACAAUCAGGGGACAGGGGAGGUGAUUCCUGAAGAUGGGGACCCCAGGGGCAGGAACCAGGCCUCAUCUAGUUGUCUCCUCCCAUACUACCCAGAUGGGCACAUCGCAAACCUCGGACAGCGUUCACCGACUGACUGUGAUGGCAACAGCUGAGACGAAAUCAAGCCCGAGGCCCUUCACGACUGCACCCAUGACGCUGGCCCUGCCCGCUGGCCUUUGCCCUCCCACGCGGGAGCCUGAUGAAGCGAGACGCCUGGGCCAGGAGGACAAAGGCUGUCCGGGGAGGGCCAGAGGUCGGAGUUCGCUCCGUGGGGACACUCCCCUCCAACGCACACAUGGCACAGAAGAAUGGCAGUGAUGUUAAAAAAAAAAAAAAAAAAAAA